UGGGGAAUUUUCCGCAAUGGGGGCAACCCUGAUGGAGCGACGCCGCGUGGAGGAUGAAGGUUUUCGGAUUGUAAACUCCUGUCAUGAGAGAACAAAGCCCGCAAGGGUCUGAUAGUAUCUCAAGAGGAAGGGACGGCUAACUCUGUGCCAGCAGCCGCGGUAAUACAGAGGUCCCCAGCGUUGUUCGGAUUCACUGGGCGUAAAGGGUGCGUAGGUGGCGGGGAAAGUUGCGUGUUAAAUCUCAAGGCUUAACCUUGAAACCGCUCGCAAUACUACUCUGCUAGAGGACUGUAGAGGAGAAUGGAAUUCACGGUGUAGCAGUGAAAUGCGUAGAUAUCGUGAGGAAGACCAGUGGCGAAGGCGAUUCUCUGGGCAGUUCCUGACACUGAGGCACGAAGGCCAGGGGAGCAAAAGGGAUUAGAUACCCCUGUAGU
This 434-nucleotide ribosomal RNA is filed under the name uncultured Spartobacteria bacterium. RNAcentral describes it as "bacterial SSU rRNA". It matches the Rfam family "Bacterial small subunit ribosomal RNA", at positions 355 to 794 of the family's 1533-position model. The record is from RNAcentral. Lineage: Bacteria; Pseudomonadati; Verrucomicrobiota; Spartobacteria.